RNAcentral lists this ribosomal RNA (238 nucleotides) under uncultured bacterium. RNAcentral's name for it is "partial 16S ribosomal RNA". It matches the Rfam family "Bacterial small subunit ribosomal RNA", at positions 15 to 244 of the family's 1533-position model. The record is from RNAcentral.
GAUCAUGGCUCAGGACGAACGCUGGCGGCGUGCCUAACACAUGCAAGUCGAACGGAGAGAAUUUGAAGCUUGCUUUGGAUUUUCUCAGUGGCGGACGGGUGAGUAACACGUAUCCAACCUGCCGUCUACUCUUGGCCAGCCUUCUGAAAGGAAGAUUAAUCCAGGAUGGGAUCAUGAGUUCACAUGUCCGCGUGAUUAAAGGUAUUUUCCGGUAGACGAUGGGGAUGCGUUCCAUUAG